GAUGAACGCUAGCAGCAGGCUUAAUACAUGCAAGUCGAGGGGCAGCGCAGUGUAGCAAUACAUGGGCGGCGACCGGCAAACGGGUGCGGAACACGUACGCAACCUUCCUUUAAGUGGGGGAUAGCCCAGGGAAACUUGGAUUAAUACCCCGUAAUAUUAUGAAGUGGCAUCACUUUAUACUUAUAGCUCCGGCGCUUAAAGGUGGGCGUGCGACUGAUUAGGUAGUUGGCGGGGUAACGGCCCACCAAGCCUGCGAUCAGUAACUGGUGUGAGAGCACGACCAGUCACACGGGCACUGAGACACGGGCCCGACUCCUACGGGAGGCAGCAGUAAGGAAUAUUGGUCAAUGGACGCAAGUCUGAACCAGCCAUGCCGCGUGGAGGAUGAAGGUCCUCUGGAUUGUAAACUUCUUUUAUUUGGGAAGAAACCCACUGUUUCUACGGUGGUUGACGGUACCAGAUAAAUAAGCACCGGCUAACUCCGUGCCAGCAGCCGCCGUAA
This 502-nucleotide ribosomal RNA is filed under the name uncultured bacterium. Its description in RNAcentral is "partial 16S ribosomal RNA". It matches the Rfam family "Bacterial small subunit ribosomal RNA", at positions 28 to 523 of the family's 1533-position model. The record is from RNAcentral.